Molecule: non-coding RNA, 23 nt
Filed under: Rattus norvegicus (Norway rat)
Lineage: Eukaryota; Metazoa; Chordata; Mammalia; Rodentia; Muridae
Source: RNAcentral
UGAUGUCUACAUUAACCACGACC